Molecule: ribosomal RNA, 465 nt
Filed under: uncultured bacterium
Lineage: Bacteria
Description: partial 16S ribosomal RNA
Rfam family: Bacterial small subunit ribosomal RNA
Source: RNAcentral
CUACGGGGGGCAGCAGUGAGGAAUUUUGCGCAAUGGGGGCAACCCUGACGCAGCAACGCCGCGUGAGUGAAGAAGGCCUUUGGGUCGUAAAACUCUGUCAAUGGGGAAGAAGUUACUAUGGUUAAAUAGGUUGUAGUAUUGACGGUACCCAUGAAGGAAGCACCGGCUAACUCCGUGCCAGCAGCCGCGGUAAUACGGGGGGUGCAAGCGUUAUUCGGAAUUAUUGGGCGUAAAGGGCACGCAGGCGGUCUUGCCAGUCAGAUGUGAAAGCCCGGGGCUCAACCCUGGAAGUGCAUUUGAAACUACAAGACUUGAGUACGGUAGAGGAAAGGGGAAUUCCUGGUGUAGAGGUGAAAUUCGUAGAUAUCAGGAGGAACACCGGUGGCGAAGGCGCCUUUCUGGACCGAAACUGACGCUGAGGUGCGAAGGCGUGGGUAGCGAACAGGAUUAGAUACCCCGGUAGUC